CCUACGGGCGGCAGCAGUAGGGAAUAUUGCACAAUGGGGGAAACCCUGAUGCAGCGACGCCGCGUGAGUGAAGACGUAUCUCGGUAUGUAAAGCUCUAUCAGCAGGGAAGAAAAUGACGGUACCUGAUUAAGAAGCCCCGUCUAACUACGGUCCAGCAGCCGCGGGAAUACGUAGGGGGCAAGCGUUAUCCGGAUUUACUGGGUGUAAAGGGAGCGUAUACGGCAGCACAAGUCUGGAGUGAAAUGCCGGGGCUUAACCCCGGAACUGCUUUGGAGACUGUGCAGCUAGAGUGCAGGAGAGGUAAGUGGAAUUCAUAGUGUAGCGGUGAAAUGCGUAGAUAUUAGGCGGAACACCAGUGGCGAAGGCGACUUACUGGACUGUAACUGACGUUGAGGCUCGAAAGCGUGGGGAGCAAACAGGAUUAGAUACCCGAGUAGUC
This 440-nucleotide ribosomal RNA is filed under the name uncultured bacterium. RNAcentral's name for it is "partial 16S ribosomal RNA". It matches the Rfam family "Bacterial small subunit ribosomal RNA", at positions 338 to 795 of the family's 1533-position model. The record is from RNAcentral.